This 550-nucleotide ribosomal RNA is filed under the name uncultured bacterium. RNAcentral's name for it is "bacterial SSU rRNA". It matches the Rfam family "Bacterial small subunit ribosomal RNA", at positions 355 to 896 of the family's 1533-position model. The record is from RNAcentral.
UAGGGAAUCUUCGGCAAUGGACGGAAGUCUGACCGAGCAACGCCGCGUGAGUGAAGAAGGUUUUCGGAUCGUAAAGCUCUGUUGUAAGAGAAGAACGAGUGUGAGAGUGGAAAGUUCACACUGUGACGGUAUCUUACCAGAAAGGGACGGCUAACUACGUGCCAGCAGCCGCGGUAAUACGUAGGUCCCGAGCGUUGUCCGGAUUUAUUGGGCGUAAAGCGAGCGCAGGCGGUUAGAUAAGUCUGAAGUUAAAGGCUGUGGCUUAACCAUAGUAGGCUUUGGAAACUGUUUAACUUGAGUGCAAGAGGGGAGAGUGGAAUUCCAUGUGUAGCGGUGAAAUGCGUAGAUAUAUGGAGGAACACCGGUGGCGAAAGCGGCUCUCUGGCUUGUAACGGACGCUGAGGCUCGAAAGCGUGGGGAGCAAACAGGAUUAGAUACCCUGGUAGUCCACGCUGUAAACGAUGAGUGCUAGGUGUUAGACCCUUUCCGGGGUUUAGUGCCGUAGCUAACGCAUUAAGCACUCCGCCUGGGGAGUACGACCGCAAGGUUG